This 75-nucleotide transfer RNA is filed under the name bacterium. RNAcentral's name for it is "tRNA-Arg". It matches the Rfam family "tRNA". Rfam says of the family: Transfer RNA (tRNA) molecules are approximately 80 nucleotides in length. Their secondary structure includes four short double-helical elements and three loops (D, anti-codon, and T loops). The record is from RNAcentral.
GCCCCUAUAGUUUAAUGGAUAAAACGAGAGGCUUCUAUCCUUUUGAUGUGGGUUCGAUUCCUACUGGGGGCACAA